Molecule: ribosomal RNA, 621 nt
Filed under: uncultured archaeon
Lineage: Archaea
Description: bacterial SSU rRNA
Rfam family: Archaeal small subunit ribosomal RNA
Source: RNAcentral
UAAUACUCCAUAGAUUAGAGACACUGGAAUGUUCUUUACUCGAAAGUUCUGGCGCCUUAGGAUGGAUCUGCGGUCGAUUAGGUUGUUGUUGGGGUAACGGCCCAACAAGCCUGUAAUCGAUACGGGUUGUGGGAGCAAGAGCCCGGAGAUGGAAUCUGAGACACGAUUCCAGGCCCUACGGGGCGCAGCAGGCGCGAAAACUUUACAAUGCAGGAAACUGUGAUAAGGGAACUCCGAGUGCCCGUAUACGCGGGCUGUCCAGGUGUUUAAAAAUCAUCUGUAGAAAGGGCCGGGCAAGAACGGUGCCAGCCGCCGCGGUAAUACCGGCGGCUCGAGUGGUGGCCACUAUUAUUGGGCUUAAAGCGUCCGUAGCUGGACCGAUAAGUCUCUUGGGAAAUCCGCCGGCUCAACCGGCGGGCGUCUAAGGGAUACUGUUAGUCUACGGACCGGGAGAGGUGAGAGGUACUCCGGGGGUAGGAGUGAAAUCCUGUAAUCCCCGGGGGAACAGCGAUGGCAAAGGCAUCUCACCAGAACGGCUCCGACAGUGAGGGACGAAAGCUGGGGGAGUGAACCGGAUUAAAUACCCGGGUAAUCCCACCGUAAACUAUGCGCGUUAGGUGU